GACGAACGCUGGCGGCGUGCUUAACACAUGCAAGUCGAACGGAAAGGCCCUACUUGUGUGGGGUUCUCGAGUGGCGAACGCGUGAGUAACACGUGAGUAACCUGCCCUUGACUUUGGGAUAACUUCAGGAAACUGGGGCUAAUACCGGAUAGGAGCCCCUGCAGCGUGGAGGGGGUUGGAACGUUUCGGCGGGUGGGGAUGGACUCGCGGCUUAUCAGCUUGUUGGUGGGGUAGUGGCUUACCAAGGCUUUGACGGGUAGCCGGCCUGAGAGGGUGACCGGCCACAUUGGGACUGAGAUACGGCCCAGACUCCUACGGGAGGCAGCAGUGGGGAAUAUUGCACAAUGGGCGGAAGCCUGAUGCAGCAACGCCGCGGGCGGGAUGACGGCCUUCGGGUUGUAAACCGCUUUCGCCUGUGACGAAGCGUGAGUGACGGUAAUGGGUAAAGAAGCACCGGCUAACUACGUG
This 468-nucleotide ribosomal RNA is filed under the name uncultured bacterium. RNAcentral's name for it is "partial 16S ribosomal RNA". It matches the Rfam family "Bacterial small subunit ribosomal RNA", at positions 28 to 507 of the family's 1533-position model. The record is from RNAcentral.